Molecule: unclassified non-coding RNA, 235 nt
Filed under: plant metagenome
Description: partial contains small subunit ribosomal RNA, internal transcribed spacer 1, and 5.8S ribosomal RNA
Source: RNAcentral
UUUCCGUAGGUGAACCUGCGGAAGGAUCAUUAACGCGUAAGGGUCAUUCUGGCCCGACCUCCAGCCCUUUGUUUAAUUACUAUGUUGCUUUAACGGGGUCUUUUCAUGACCUCCGGAAGUCCUCUGUCUUCUCGCCCGUGCCCGCCAAUAUCCUUCUCCAAACUCUUGAUCAAUUGUGAUGUCUGAGUAAUAAAUUUAAUAGUUAAAACUGUCAACAACGGAUCUCUUGGUUCUG